RNAcentral lists this ribosomal RNA (2929 nucleotides) under Escherichia coli. RNAcentral describes it as "23S ribosomal RNA". It matches the Rfam family "Bacterial large subunit ribosomal RNA". Lineage: Bacteria; Pseudomonadati; Pseudomonadota; Gammaproteobacteria; Enterobacterales; Enterobacteriaceae. The record is from RNAcentral.
GGGUUGUGAGGUUAAGCGACUAAGCGUACACGGUGGAUGCCCUGGCAGUCAGAGGCGAUGAAGGACGUGCUAAUCUGCGAUAAGCGUCGGUAAGGUGAUAUGAACCGUUAUAACCGGCGAUUUCCGAAUGGGGAAACCCAGUGUGAUUCGUCACACUAUCAUUAACUGAAUCCAUAGGUUAAUGAGGCGAACCGGGGGAACUGAAACAUCUAAGUACCCCGAGGAAAAGAAAUCAACCGAGAUUCCCCCAGUAGCGGCGAGCGAACGGGGAGGAGCCCAGAGCCUGAAUCAGUGUGUGUGUUAGUGGAAGCGUCUGGAAAGGCGCGCGAUACAGGGUGACAGCCCCGUACACAAAAAUGCACAUAUUGUGAGCUCGAUGAGUAGGGCGGGACACGUGGUAUCCUGUCUGAAUAUGGGGGGACCAUCCUCCAAGGCUAAAUACUCCUGACUGACCGAUAGUGAACCAGUACCGUGAGGGAAAGGCGAAAAGAACCCCGGCGAGGGGAGUGAAAAAGAACCUGAAACCGUGUACGUACAAGCAGUGGGAGCACGCUUCGGCGUGUGACUGCGUACCUUUUGUAUAAUGGGUCAGCGACUUAUAUUCUGUAGCAAGGUUAACCGAAUAGGGGAGCCGAAGGGAAACCGAGUCUUAACUGGGCGUUAAGUUGCAGGGUAUAGACCCGAAACCCGGUGAUCUAGCCAUGGGCAGGUUGAAGGUUGGGUAACACUAACUGGAGGACCGAACCGACUAAUGUUGAAAAAUUAGCGGAUGACUUGUGGCUGGGGGUGAAAGGCCAAUCAAACCGGGAGAUAGCUGGUUCUCCCCGAAAGCUAUUUAGGUAGCGCCUCGUGAAUUCAUCUCCGGGGGUAGAGCACUGUUUCGGCAAGGGGGUCAUCCCGACUUACCAACCCGAUGCAAACUGCGAAUACCGGAGAAUGUUAUCACGGGAGACACACGGCGGGUGCUAACGUCCGUCGUGAAGAGGGAAACAACCCAGACCGCCAGCUAAGGUCCCAAAGUCAUGGUUAAGUGGGAAACGAUGUGGGAAGGCCCAGACAGCCAGGAUGUUGGCUUAGAAGCAGCCAUCAUUUAAAGAAAGCGUAAUAGCUCACUGGUCGAGUCGGCCUGCGCGGAAGAUGUAACGGGGCUAAACCAUGCACCGAAGCUGCGGCAGCGACACUGUGUGUUGUUGGGUAGGGGAGCGUUCUGUAAGCCUGUGAAGGUGUACUGUGAGGUAUGCUGGAGGUAUCAGAAGUGCGAAUGCUGACAUAAGUAACGAUAAAGCGGGUGAAAAGCCCGCUCGCCGGAAGACCAAGGGUUCCUGUCCAACGUUAAUCGGGGCAGGGUGAGUCGACCCCUAAGGCGAGGCCGAAAGGCGUAGUCGAUGGGAAACAGGUUAAUAUUCCUGUACUUGGUGUUACUGCGAAGGGGGGACGGAGAAGGCUAUGUUGGCCGGGCGACGGUUGUCCCGGUUUAAGCGUGUAGGCUGGUUUUCCAGGCAAAUCCGGAAAAUCAAGGCUGAGGCGUGAUGACGAGGCACUACGGUGCUGAAGCAACAAAUGCCCUGCUUCCAGGAAAAGCCUCUAAGCAUCAGGUAACAUCAAAUCGUACCCCAAACCGACACAGGUGGUCAGGUAGAGAAUACCAAGGCGCUUGAGAGAACUCGGGUGAAGGAACUAGGCAAAAUGGUGCCGUAACUUCGGGAGAAGGCACGCUGAUAUGUAGGUGAAGUCCCUCGCGGAUGGAGCUGAAAUCAGUCGAAGAUACCAGCUGGCUGCAACUGUUUAUUAAAAACACAGCACUGUGCAAACACGAAAGUGGACGUAUACGGUGUGACGCCUGCCCGGUGCCGGAAGGUUAAUUGAUGGGGUCAGCGCAAGCGAAGCUCUUGAUCGAAGCCCCGGUAAACGGCGGCCGUAACUAUAACGGUCCUAAGGUAGCGAAAUUCCUUGUCGGGUAAGUUCCGACCUGCACGAAUGGCGUAAUGAUGGCCAGGCUGUCUCCACCCGAGACUCAGUGAAAUUGAACUCGCUGUGAAGAUGCAGUGUACCCGCGGCAAGACGGAAAGACCCCGUGAACCUUUACUAUAGCUUGACACUGAACAUUGAGCCUUGAUGUGUAGGAUAGGUGGGAGGCUUAGAAGUGUGGACGCCAGUCUGCAUGGAGCCGACCUUGAAAUACCACCCUUUAAUGUUUGAUGUUCUAACGUGGACCCGUGAUCCGGGUUGCGGACAGUGUCUGGUGGGUAGUUUGACUGGGGCGGUCUCCUCCUAAAGAGUAACGGAGGAGCACGAAGGUUGGCUAAUCCUGGUCGGACAUCAGGAGGUUAGUGCAAUGGCAUAAGCCAGCUUGACUGCGAGCGUGACGGCGCGAGCAGGUGCGAAAGCAGGUCAUAGUGAUCCGGUGGUUCUGAAUGGAAGGGCCAUCGCUCAACGGAUAAAAGGUACUCCGGGGAUAACAGGCUGAUACCGCCCAAGAGUUCAUAUCGACGGCGGUGUUUGGCACCUCGAUGUCGGCUCAUCACAUCCUGGGGCUGAAGUAGGUCCCAAGGGUAUGGCUGUUCGCCAUUUAAAGUGGUACGCGAGCUGGGUUUAGAACGUCGUGAGACAGUUCGGUCCCUAUCUGCCGUGGGCGCUGGAGAACUGAGGGGGGCUGCUCCUAGUACGAGAGGACCGGAGUGGACGCAUCACUGGUGUUCGGGUUGUCAUGCCAAUGGCACUGCCCGGUAGCUAAAUGCGGAAGAGAUAAGUGCUGAAAGCAUCUAAGCACGAAACUUGCCCCGAGAUGAGUUCUCCCUGACUCCCUGAGAGUCCUGAAGGAACGUUGAAGACGACGACGUUGAUAGGCCGGGUGUGUAAGCGCAGCGAUGCGUUGAGCUAACCGGUACUAAUGAACCGUGAGGCUUAACCUUACAACGCCGAAGCUGUU